CUCCCUUCUCUCCCAUCACUCUUCCUUCUGGUGCCAGGUUCUCUGGAGACCUUGCUGUCUUUUAAGUCGAGGAUGUAAGCGUCCUGACCAUUGUGUCUGCUGCUACAAUUCCCCGCCAUGAUGGACUCUUCUCUUUCUGGAGCUAUAAGUUCAAGUAAACGUUCCCUUCUAUGCAACAUGCUGGACCAGCUGGCUCACCCUAUCAUGAUGGAGUGAGCCAAAAUGAAAAUAAACGGGCCCAUCUUUCAAGUUGUUUUUGUCAAGCAUUUUGUCACAGCCAAAGCAACACAGUGGCCUUAUGGAGAGUCUUGGCAAUGGAUACCUUGACACCUGGUCCAAGGUAUUCAUUCCAGGCCAGAGACAGCAGGAGCAACGACACAGGAAAGCAAAAGGGCUUGG
Long non-coding RNA from Mus musculus (house mouse), 399 nucleotides. RefSeq annotates it as predicted gene, 39070. Lineage: Eukaryota; Metazoa; Chordata; Mammalia; Rodentia; Muridae. The record is from RefSeq and is a predicted model, not a curated record. The transcript has 3 exons.